This 68-nucleotide transfer RNA is filed under the name Avahi laniger (woolly lemur). RNAcentral describes it as "tRNA-Cys". Lineage: Eukaryota; Metazoa; Chordata; Mammalia; Primates; Indriidae. The record is from RNAcentral.
AGCCCCGAGGUGAGUUUUCAUAUUGAAUUGCAAAUUCAAAGAAGCAGCUUCAAUUGCUGCCGGGGCUU